Molecule: ribosomal RNA, 403 nt
Filed under: Fusobacteriota bacterium
Lineage: Bacteria; Fusobacteriati; Fusobacteriota
Description: Fusobacteria bacterium partial 16S ribosomal RNA
Rfam family: Bacterial small subunit ribosomal RNA
Source: RNAcentral
UGGGGAAUAUUGCACAAUGGAGGGAACUCUGAUGCAGCGACGCCGCGUGAACGAAGAAGGCUUUCGAGUCGUAAAGUUCUUUUAUAUGGGAAGAUAAUGACGGUAUCAUAAGAAAAAGCCCCGGCUAACUACGUGCCAGCAGCCGCGGUAAUACGUAGGGGGCUAGCGUUGUCCGGAAUCACUGGGCGUAAAGGGUUCGCAGGCGGAAAUGCAAGUCAGGUGUAAAAGGCAGUAGCUUAACUACUGUAAGCAUUUGAAACUGCAUAUCUUGAGAAGAGGAGAGGUAAGUGGAAUUUUUAGUGUAGCGGUGAAAUGCGUAGAUAUUAAAAAGAAUACCGGGGGCGAAGGCGACUUACUGGGCUCAUUCUGACGCUGAGGAACGAAAGCGUGGGUAGCAAACAGG